UUUACUCAAAAAAAUUGACUUUGUUUCAGCUUCGUACAUUUAUAAUGAGUGUUAAGUUGGAUGUUCUGAUCACCCAGUUUGUCACCAGAAAGGGAGUCGUCCACUGCUUAACCUAACAUGACUCAAAAAUGAGUUGUGACGGUCGGUCGGCGUGGUGGUGGUGGCUGGAACUGGUCUGAGAGUUUGGAAGUGGUGCUGCGUCGGUCCAUGGAAGUGUCACUGAAGGCUAGGCUCUGCAUUGAUCCUCGGGGACCCUGCAAGAAUUACACCAACAUUAAUCUUGGUUUGCUUGUGCUUUGUGUUCAUUCACCAUUGUUGAAAACUGUGAUGUAUGGUGGUUAUUUGUGAUAUUUAUUUUAAUAAGGGUCAUAUAUUGCCUGGGAAUGGGAGAUGAUCAAGAAAGAGCAAUGCCAGGCAAUUUGUGACAGCAUGUUGUGGAGGGUCAUUACCCCAAGGGAGGGUUGUUGCCAGUAAGGGGCUCUUGAUCGAAGGAAAUUUACCAUAGCUCCUCUUCCUUGGAGCCUGAUUGCCUCCCCAUUUCCAGAUAUUGUAUGAAACCUAGGGGUAAGACAUCCUUACCCUAUGAAUGCAAUGGAAAACACAUUAAGGUAAAUGCAGGAAAAACCAGCAAAUCAUUUUGUUGGCCUUUCCUGCAUUUGUUUUAGUAUGUUUCCCCACCAUUGUGAAUUCAUAAAUACAAAAAAUAGAAGAUUUACUCUAUUUCCUAAAUACGUAUUCACUUAACACUUCCCCAAAUCUCUCUCUCUCUCUCAUCUCGAUUCAUAUCAACUGCUGGGUCUAACAUACAUUCAUGAAUGCACUGAUAUAUGUAUUAGUUAUAUAAUUAUUACAAUAUUGUGUAACAGUAAAUCUUCUAUUUUUAGGUGUGAAUGAAAAAUGAAAAUAGAAUUCACCUGUAAUGCCUGAAAAUGUAACUUAAUAAACAGAGGAAAUGCUA
Cherax quadricarinatus is the source of this 958-nucleotide non-coding RNA. The record is from RefSeq and is a predicted model, not a curated record. Lineage: Eukaryota; Metazoa; Arthropoda; Malacostraca; Decapoda; Parastacidae.